Molecule: long non-coding RNA, 730 nt
Filed under: Helianthus annuus (common sunflower)
Lineage: Eukaryota; Viridiplantae; Streptophyta; Magnoliopsida; Asterales; Asteraceae
Description: hypothetical non coding rna
Source: RNAcentral
AAACCAGACAAACACAUCUUACCCACAAGUCCCUGCUCUCUCCCUCUCGAUUCCUUCGCCGGCGAAUUAUAGAGAGGAGCCGGCUAGACUCUCCGACAACACCUACCCCCUCGUCCCUCUCAAACUCCUACGAUCGGAGAUAUUUCCGACAACCACAGAGAACCGGCGCUGCUGGUGGUUCUCUCCGACGGGCGAGACAGCCCCCCCCACCCAACACUCACACAACUACCCCCCCCCAUUCACACUUGCAGAUCGGAAGCAACAGGAGAGCCGCUGCACAUGGAGGCGGCGACGUGGCAUCUCAGUGGCGGUGGCGGUGAUGACUGAUGAAGAUGGUGACGUGCCGAUGGUGGUUGCCGACGAUGGCAGAUGGAGCGACGACAGCCGCGGUGCAACGUUUGAAGGAAAAAAAUUGCGGAGUUGGAACAAGAUAAGAUAGAGAAGCAUGCUGUGAUGGAGAAAAUCGAAGAAAGUGCGAGGUUGUACGCCGAAAUGAACGAGAGAAUUCAAUUGCUUUCACAAAACCCGCCACCAACUUAGAUAUGUUGAACUUUAUUGUAUUUCUUUUGGAUAUUUAUCGUUGCUUUGGGUUAAUUUAGAUCUUUAUUGUUGCGUUGGGACUUGGUAUAACUUGGAUCUUUAUCAUGUUACUUUGGUUAUGUUUGAAACUUUGAGUUAUUUUUCUAUUUGGUUUUGAGUUUUUAUCUUUGGUAUAGUUUUCUUGUUUAUU